RNAcentral lists this ribosomal RNA (750 nucleotides) under uncultured eukaryote. Its description in RNAcentral is "bacterial SSU rRNA". It matches the Rfam family "Eukaryotic small subunit ribosomal RNA", at positions 462 to 1604 of the family's 1831-position model. The record is from RNAcentral.
AGUCAGUGACAGAAACACUAAACAAUGCCGGUGCUUUUUCAAGUCUGGCAAGUGGUAUGAGAACAAAUCUCAAUCCCUUAUCGAGGUAUCAAUAGAGUGCGAGUAUGGUGCGAGCAGCAUGCUGUAAUUCCAGCUCCAAUAGCGUAUAUUUAAGUUGUAGCAGAUACAACGCUAGCAGUUGGAUUUGCGGUGUGUCGGUCGACCUGAAUCCGAAAGGGUUCGUUGUUAGUACACGCCUGGCCAUCCUCGGGGGAAGCUUUGCUGGCAUUUAGUAGUCGGCGGAGUGACGCUCGUCAAGGUCUGAGACCAAUUUAGAGUGUUCAAAGCAGGCUUAGCCCGUCGAAUACAUUAGCAUGGCAUAAUGAGAUAGGAAAAUGGUGGUCUAUUUUUUCGGUUCCCACGCAGAAGUAACGAGUUAUAGGGGCGGUUGGGGGUAUUCGUAUUCAACCGUCAGAGGUGAAAUUCUUGGAUUUAUGGAAGCCGAACUAAUUCGAAAGCAUUUAUCAAGGACGUCAUCAUUAAUCAAGAACGAAAGUGAGGGGAUAGAAGAAGAUGAGAUACCCUGGUAGUCUUACCCAUAAAUUAUCCUGAAUAGGGAUUGGCGGUUGUCAUUUCAGGCUCCGUCAGCAAAAUGCCCAAAUCAAAGUUUAUUGUCACUACCUGGAGGUGUCAGGCAAGGGUAAAAUUUGAACAAAUUGCCGGAAGGGCACCACGUAGAGUUUCUCAGGCUCCCUCUCCGGAUUAGCACCC